GAUGAACGCUGGCGGCGUGCCUAAUACAUGCAAGUCGAGCGAACAGACGAGGAGCUUGCUCCUCUGACGUUAGCGGCGGACGGGUGAGUAACACGUGGAUAACCUACCUAUAAGACUGGGAUAACUUCGGGAAACCGGAGCUAAUACCGGAUAAUAUAUUGAACCGCAUGGUUCAAUAGUGAAAGACGGUUUUGCUGUCACUUAUAGAUGGAUCCGCGCCGCAUUAGCUAGUUGGUAAGGUAACGGCUUACCAAGGCGACGAUGCGUAGCCGACCUGAGAGGGUGAUCGGCCACCCUGGAAGUGAGACAGGGUCCAGACUCCUACGGGAGGCAGCAGUAGGGAAUCUUCCGCAAUGGGCGAAAGCCUGACGGAGCAACGCCGCGUGAGUGAUGAAGGUCUUCGGAUCGUAAAACUCUGUUAUUAGGGAAGAACAAAUGUGUAAGUAACUAUGCACGUCUUGACGGUACCUAAUCAGAAAGCCACGGCUAACUACGUG
RNAcentral lists this ribosomal RNA (497 nucleotides) under uncultured bacterium. RNAcentral describes it as "partial 16S ribosomal RNA". It matches the Rfam family "Bacterial small subunit ribosomal RNA", at positions 28 to 507 of the family's 1533-position model. The record is from RNAcentral.